This 36632-nucleotide long non-coding RNA is filed under the name Triticum aestivum (bread wheat). RNAcentral's name for it is "long non-coding RNA (TAES_LNC000744)". Lineage: Eukaryota; Viridiplantae; Streptophyta; Magnoliopsida; Poales; Poaceae. The record is from RNAcentral.
ACGGAACAUCAUGGUCGAUAUUUACCAUUAUUACCUGUGUUUUCCACUCAUCAGAUUGCAGUACCAUCUCCGCAACCGUCUUCAAUGUCUGCAAGGAUAAGAAACUUUCAACUACAAGCUUCUGGCAAUGAAUGUAAACUAAUGGAACACAAGUCCCUGCCGACCAGAAGAUCCACUGAAGGCUCCAGUAUAGAGCCAUCUACUAGAGCAGCCCAUAGUGUUUGCUGCUCCUUUUUUGUAGGUUAUAAUUAACCUUAAGCUUCUACCUGGGGAAGUUUUUACAGCGUGCACUUUGGGUUCGGUUCUCUUGUGAAAAAACAGUUCAGUAUUCUGCAUUUUUCUGACCCUGGUUGGUACCAACGUGUGAGCUACGAGUUUAUGUCUGAUUUAACAUGCUGGUUUACCAACAAGGUACUGGGUGGAGCAGAGUCCUCCUGAUAAUUGCAUUCAGCUACUGAAGUAACAUCAGUGUGAGCUAAUUAGGUAGGACUGCAUACAGUGACCUCGAACAGAUAUAGACCUAUAUAUGUGAAGAAUUUAUAAAGUGAGAACUAGUGGCUGUGCAUGCAACUGUCACCCACUGGUCAAUGUUCCAACUAUCACUCUAAAUUCUCAGCUUACUCUGGCCUGACCUCUCUAUGAUCAUGUUCAUUCUGAACAUAUAUGCUCCAUAGUAUGUUCCAAUCAACACAUGUAGUAUCUCACUACUGGAUCAAUUAAAAUCUGGAACAAUUUCAGGUUGCCGAGUCUUUUCAAGAACACUACAACUCACCGGAACAAGGCAAUCGUUACCAUGUCCAAUUCUCGCUAUAAUGGCGAGCCUAUUAGUCCACAAUAAUGCUCCAAGGUCCGCUAAAAAUCAGCCUCUGUUCAUCGUCAUCUUCAACAAAGGGUAGAAACAUAAAGCACCCUAAAUAUUUACCAUUAAGAAGGCCACUAGAUAAAAAGGCAAAUUCAUUCUUCAGUUAAGGAAAUAUAAUGACAUGAGGUAUGUAGAUUGCUAACUAUUUGCUACAGAGAAGACCACUAGAUAAUUUAAAUAAAGCAACAUCAAUUCUUGAGACAACGAAAAUUCAUACAUGAGUAAGUUCAGUCGGCACAUAUUUCAAAAGCAGAGCAAAAUUAAUUUCUAAUUUUAGCAUCAUUACAGCAUUAGUCACUUCAGCCCAAAAGAUACCAAGACAAGCAUAGAGCUCAUGCAACCACAUAACAGUCACAGCUUCCAAUCAUACUUUGUAUACAUCAAUGCAAAAGGAAGAAGUGGCCAGCAGGAUCAUACUCGAUCCAAUUCAUAGAUACUGGAUAUACAACAUCUAGGCCGUUAAGAAGCACCACCUCACUCAACAGGGGUCAGAUGAAAGGCGAAGCGUUGAUAGCAUAACCUUCUAGAGCCGGAAAGAAGGUAUGCUUAACAAGACUUUGCUUGAGGCGAGCUCCGGACAUAGAGAAGCUUGGGCGACCACGAUGGAAACUGCCAACCAAUUUGCCAGCACAAUCAAAAUGAAGCAGGCACCCAUAAGCACUGACCAGCAAGAGCACACCACCAUCCACCGAAACAACGUCCACAUUCCGAUGGUCGUCAUAUGCUCCAAACAUCCCCCUGAAAUCCGCAACCGGCAAUUCGAUACGGUAUUUCAAUUCCCAAACCUCGUUUUCAUAGUUUUGCAACAUCGAUAUAUAAACAAAUUUGGUGGCGUCGCCCUGGCUAUAGAAGCCAAGCGUGUCGUCACUCAUCUCGAAGAUAUACGAGUUGGUGGGAACACUUGGAGCACGCAUCAUUCGGAAUGACUCCGCUAUGGUGUCGAACACGAGUAAAUUGUAAAAAACCACCACAAUUGGAGACCCUAACUCAGAAAACUGCCAUCAUUCGGUUUUUUUUCAAAAAACCACCAACAUUGUGGGGACAGUUUUCAAAAAACACUGAAUGAGCAAUUAGAGCUGUUUGAGUGAAAAUCUGACCGCUAGGUCCCAUUGUCAGGUGCCAUGUGGCCUGGGUACAUACGGUACUCCUCACACGUCGUUAGAAAGUGUGGCUCCCGUUAAGCUAGACGUAGGACCCACCCAUCAGUGGGUUUGCUCCUCUCUCUUUCUCAAGCAUUCUUACAAACACCUCUCGUGCACCGCCGUGGCCAUCUCCAUCUCCAUCACGGAGCUCGAGCUGCUCAUCCAGGAGCCCGUGCAGGGUCGCCGUCAGCUGAUGGUGUCGGACCCGGCGUGAGGUGGCGGCGCAGCCAUGGACGCAGCCGGCGAGGUGGCUGGUCGUGGCCGAGCAGGGCCGCGCGCGUGGCUCCGUCCGCAGCCGGCGGCGAGCGCGGCGUUGAGCAGGAUACGGGAGGAGGAUGGGAAGCGCGCCGGGAGGAGCUGGACGUGGCUUGCCGCAGCCGGCGAGGUGGCUAGUCGUGGCCGAGCCUGGCGGCGCGGUGCGGUAGGACGCGGCGGGCGCGCGUGGAGCUGUGCGCACAGGGCUGCGUUCAUCACCGUACCCCGGCGGUUCCAGCCACCGUCUGCUGUCAUGCACAUAGGAAUGGCGCCGGGCUGGACCUCCUCAUGCCCAGGAGCUGCCCGAGCCCGACGACGCCGACGAGGUCGCGAAGUGGAGGAGCUGGAUCCGGCGGGUGGCGAAGUGGAGGGCGGCUAGCACAGGGGGUCGGGGGUCGGGGGCCGCCCUCGGAUCCGUCGUCGGGGCUGCACGGGGGGCCGACGCCGCUUGGAUCCAUCGCCGGGCGGCAAACCGGACUCGCCGCGCGGUGGGCAUCGCCUUCAGGUCUGGCGCCACGACGCGCUCCGUGCGCGGGAUGGGGAUCCGGCCCUCAAACCUGUCCUUGACUGAUUCCGCGCUGGCGACGGCGACGAAUUAGUAGCCGGAGUGCAGCUCUGGGGAGGCGGCGGUGAGGUGCAGAAGACGACGAGCCAGAGUUAUGUGCGGCAGCGUUGGCGUGGUCAACGGAGACCCCGGCUGUGUGUGACUGUGAGGCUUACGGGUGGCCCCCCACUUCUAUCUUUUUUUCUUAUCAUACGUGAGGUCAAACGGUGUCAAGUUGCUUUGCCACAUCAGCACUUACAGCAGGCCCCAUCUGUCAGGUAUGGUGCUAACAUGCAUUUAGUGACCAAUAAGUGCUUUUUGAAAACUGUCACUACAAUGUUGGUGGUUUUUUGAAAAAAAAUGAAUGAUGACGGUUUUGGGAAUUAGGAUCCUCAAUUGUGGUGGUUUUUUGCAAUUUACUCUGUCGAACACUAUUACCACCGGUUCGCUGUCACUCUGACAACGCUUCGGAUGCCAGUGCAGGCUGUCGUGCAGCCUGGCAGGUAAGUUGAGGAGGUACGCCGAGAAUGUUUCUGGCCACGCGAUGGACCUCGGUGGCCGGUUGGAGCCCAACGCAAAGAUAUAGCAAGUUUGGUCUUUGGGUAAGCCUGUGAAGCCCCUCCGAUUCCGUUGCAGUAAGAGGCGGUACUCGCCGGUAGGCCGGUGUGGGUACAUCGCCAAGGUCUUGAAGUUCCAUGGUGGAAGCCUCAGGUAGGCAUGCUCACGUGUGGCCGGGUUGCAGACGGAGAAGGUGCGAGAGGCUGUCGUGCUUUCAAACUUGGAGAGGACGAGGAGGCCGUCGCAGGAGGCCUCCAGAUCGAAGUCCUGGUCAAACGGGGCGACGGUGUGGAGCUGGUACUCUGCGGUGGCCCGGUGGUCGAAGGCCAGAAUGUUACGGUACUGGCCGUCGCCGGGGAAAAUGGGGAGAGCGGGCUGGCGGGCAUGGUGCGCCAGGAGGAAGCGGCGGGUGGAGGUGACAAGGCACCAAGACCGGCGGACGGCGCGGCAGCAGAAGAGGGUUCUUGGGUCCAGGUGGACGAGGAUCUCCCAGAUGAUGAUCUCGUCUGGGAGGAAAGGCGUCAUUCCUCCUCCUGCUGCGGCGUUCGCAAUGGUCGCCGGUUGGGAGCUCGUCCCGGAGGUGUGCUGGUGCCUGGUGGCUUGUCAAUUGCAAGAAACCACCACAUUUGCGGCUAGGUUUGCAGUAAACCACCAACUCGUUAAUCCGUUGCAGAAAACACCGAAAAAUCUGUUAAGUCGUUGCAAAAAGCACUGAUCGGAUGAUUUGGCCCGUUUAAUCACUUUCUUACAAGUGGGGCCAGAUUGUAAGGAAUUGACUUAGCGAAAAAAUAACACAUACACCCCCAGAUAAAAAAACAAAAGCAAUCUGACCCUCCCCCGUGGAACUCCCUCUCCUCCACCACGCUGACGCCCUGUCCACUCUGCGCCGCCGCCGCGCUGCUGCCAUCCGUCUGGCAUGGUGGCGCCCAGGCCGAGAUGCAUGGGGCCGCCCUUGUCGGCGACGGAGAGGGCUAUGCCGCUGGGGAGGACGAGGAGGCGGCCGGCGCCCACGGCUGCACUGCGAACCGUCUCCAUAGCGCGCGGGCCGUGAUGGCGACGCCCUCCGGCAGCUCGUCGUAGCCGGGGAAGAGCUGGGAUGGCGGGGGCAGGCUCGGUCUGGCAGCCUGCCGGCCGCCGCCAAGUCGUGCUGCCGGCAAGGCAAGAGGCGACCACCCGACAGCAGGGCGAUGACGGCGACGACGGUGCACGAGGCGGUGACGCGCGGCGGCGCGGUGAUCGAGGCGGAGGAGAUGCUCGUCGGGAGGCUUGUGCCGCCGCGGGACUGCUCGGAGGCGAUGUACGCACGCACAGCCGCACAGGUGAACUUCGACAGCGAGGGACAGCGAUGGCAGCGGCCUCAAAAGGCGGCCAUAGCAGCGCACACGUGCCGGCCGGCUUUCGCUGAAACAGAGGCGAGCCCAGCCCGGCCGAGAGCGUAGCCUACCCGUGGUGCGUGCGUGCCACAGGAUGGCCGGCGUGGUGGAGAAGAGAGAGUUCGGGAGGGUCUGAUUGCUUUUGUAUUUUUAGAUCUAGGGGUGUAUGUGUUAUUUUUUCGCUAAGUCAAUUCCUUACAAUCUGGCCCCACUUGUAAGAAAGUGAUUAAACGGGCCAAAUCAUUCGAUUAGUGCUUUUUGCAACGACUUAACAGAUUUUUCGGUGUUUUCUGCAACGGAUUAACGAGUUGGUGGUUUCCUGCAAAACUAGCCGCAAAUGUGGUGGUUUCUUGCAAUUGACUCGCCUGGUGGCGGCGGAGGGGAUGUAGCAAUAGUAUGUUACGUAAAUCUUUCAGGUGGUAGAAACGGAUUUGAGGUGGCCUCGUCUGCAGGUUCCAAACCCUACAAAAGAUUUCCUGUAAGGAAAAAAAACAAGUAUUUAACUAUCACAAAACAUGCACAUAAUUCAUGUUCAAACUUCAAAGGUUCAGAACUUCAGAGAAAAAGGAGUGUGCUCAAUUAUUUUGUAAGAGCCAAAACAUAUUAAGAACUGCGGAUGGUAACUAGACCAAGGUUUUGUGAACAAUUGACUCAUCAUUACAUUACGUACCUAGCCGGAGACUGUCAACUUGAGUUUAUUUACACAUGUACUCCCUCUGUAAAGAAAUAUAAAACCAUUUAUAGAUCACUAAAGGGAGUAGUAAGGAUUUUGUUUUCCGAUAAUGAUAUGUCAUAUGUAGCAAGGAUCAUGACGAUGUAACGGAAUAAAGCCAACUAGCCAAGAAUCCACUGCAUAUGCUGCAUCCGAUGAAGUUUCAUCGUUCCACCAAUGCCCUUGAUACCUGAGCAAACAUGCUGCGAAUCGCAUCUCAGCAGACACCACUGUCAUCUAUCAGCUGCUGGUCAGUAGGUGUCUGUCAAUCAUUUCACAGGCAUGCAACGGAACCGAGACCUGGAAGAUUCGUAUGGUACCUGCUGAUGGCAGAGUUGCAAAGGCAACGUGGUCUUUCAUGCUCCAAACAGACUGGACACUGCUACAACACCGAUAACACUUGCAGUGCAACAGGUAAACAUGGCAUUUACUAAAUUUUUGCAGAACAAGAGCAAUCAACGACAGAACGUCAAGAGUUGAUAUAUACCAUUAUUACAAAACUAGGGCAAACGUUGCUCCCGUAUAAGCUAGUACUCUGUGACAACUGAACAUUACUUGUCCAUUAAUCAAUCACAGCCAUAAUAAGAGGAAACAGAAAAACGCAGCAACUUGAUAUGCGAGACAGAAGAAGAACCAGCAGUCGGGCAUUUUGUCCACCUCAAAGAUUAUUCCAGUGUACAGAUGGGAGGGUUCCUGGUGGCAUCUCUCGAGAAGCUACUACCAUGGAGGCAUUUAGAACAGAUCAAAGUACACCAUCGUGUCCUUGGCCAUGACUAGCAAGAGGAGCUUGAAGUAUAUCAAGGCCCACUUCCUGGUGAUGUCAUGGUGGACGUAGUCCAGGAGGAUCUCCUUGUGGAACAUGUAGACCUGAUGGUACACUGACGCAAUCAGGAGAGAAGUGCUGAUGCUGUUCUUCGACACCAGGAGCAGAGUCGGGAUCAUGUAGAACGUGACUUUUGUCAUCAUCUCGGUCCGCCUCACUUUCAAGCUUUCGAGUGUCAAUGGACUGCUUCUGGGCUUGCUAAUGGUUGCUUCAAUGGGGCUGAAUGCUGCGACCUUCGCUGAGGCUCCCUCCUGUGAUUUCAGUGCAUCCGAUUGUACCAUCCCAGCAAUUGUCUUUGAGGUCUACAAGCAUAAGAAACUUUCAGUUGCAAGCUUCUGGCAAUGAAUGCUGUCAAGUGAGGAAGCAAACUAAUGAAACACAGCUCCCAUAAGAUUGGCACAAGGAACAAACUAGCACCUGCUGAUCAGAAGAUCCAUUGGAGGCUCCAGUAGAAAACCAGCGAGGCAAUACGUGUGUGCCACCGAGUCGAGAUGCCUGCUCAUAUCCUAGAAUCUGCUUGCAUAAGGGAGGACAAAUGGCACCUCAAAAAAUGAAUUAUUACGAGUACGAUAGGCUGAUAAACUGAAGAAGAGAAUGUAAUAAUAGAAGUAGACAUGCAUACGAACAUAAAGUUCUUAAAAAUUGUACAGCAUGCUGAGAAAUGAAAUGAUCACUGAUCACUCAAGCAAACAAAAUGCAGUAUUGGUAUUUUGGCCUUUCAUCAGUGAAAUACAUAUGUAACUACAUAGAGCAGACUCAUAAACCAGCACCUGCCAAACCUAAAAUGCUAUUAGUAUUUUUGGAUAUUCAUCAGGAAGAUAGAUAUAACUACAUAGAGCAGACUCACAAACCAUGCAUCUAGAAUCCUACUCUCUGUGUGACAAGCAGAGGCAGAACUGUACUACAAUAUUCCCUGUUCUCAAUGCAAGAUGACAGUUAUAGUUCCGCCUUUAGAUUUUAGUUCUCCAUGCACUAGGGAGAACAGCUAUUAUUGCACAAUGCAUAUGAAGCAUGUGUAAAGCACCAUCAAUGAAUUUUACAACUAGCACAUCCUAUCUCAUGUUGGCAGCACCACUAAAAUUAUUUCAUAAUAAUAGUACAAAGUUGGCAGCAUCAAUGAAUACCAGCAAUACAUAUAACUAUUUUUUGACAAUGAAUUUCACAACAAGUACAGAAAGUUCUUAAAAAUUGUACAUCCAACGAAGUGAUCACUGAUCAGUCAAGCAAACCAAAUGCACUGUUGGUAUUUGGUCUUUCAUUAGUGAGAUACAUAGAUAACUAAACAGAGAAGACUCACAAAUGAGUACGUGCUAGAUAUCAAUGAUGACUGAUCAGUCAGGCAAACCAAAUGCACUAUUGGUAUUUUAGUCAUUCAUCAGUAAGAUACAUAUAACUAGAUAGAGCAGACUCACAUACCAUGCAUCUAGAAUCCUACUCUCCCUGUGAAAAGCAAAAGUAGAACUGUAGUACAGUAUGACAAGUUCUAGUUCCUCCAUUAUAAUUCAGUUCUCCACGAACCAGGGAAGAACUACUAUUGACCAAUGCAUAUGGAACUUAUGUAAAGCAACAUCAAUGAAUUUAACACCAAGUACGUCCUAUCCAAUGCUGGCAGUACAGAGUGCAUAAAAAACUAUAGAAGACUACACAUGUGCCAAGUAAUCAUAGACAGUUGUAUCUUUUUCAUCGGCAAUAGAAAAAUAUAAUAACCGCAAAACGGAUGGCACCAAUCAAGAGUAUUGACUCGAACAACGAAAUAUCCUGUUUGUGCAUAAUCAGCAGUUAUAUACCAUUAGCAGAAAUCUCCCGUGUUGAAACACAAUAGCAUAGUGACAUGAUAUCUCGAAGGUACUGAGCAUUCCUUUAGUCAACUACAAGCUCAGGCUGAAAUUUAAUUGAAGCAGAUUGGCAAACCAAACCAAACGUAUGAAAGGAUACCCUUUACAGUUUAUGUAAAGUAAACAUAACACUUUAAGCUUCGCUGCCUACAUGACUACAUCCCUAACUCAAUGUCAUGUGUAGUCACUAUCGCGCCACAAUGAACGCCAAUCUCACCAACUGUUUAUCAACCCAAUUCAGAGUUUUGUUCAGUUUUCGUUCUCAAACUCGAUGACUCUGGAGAUUCAAUCGGCCAGCGCAAAGGCAAAGAGGUGAGUUCACCUUACACCACAAACCUAACCCGCAACAUAAGCUCGAUGAGGCCUAUACAAGCUAGUAAGUAGUCUAAGUAAAACCAUCGAAAAUACACACAACCACCUAACAGAACACGGAAAUCGAGCCCUCGAGGAACGGAAUCAGGCAAUCGCACAAAACGAUCGGAUCGAGCACGAACGAGCGGCGCAUCACGCUUACAGCCCCAUAACCGGAGCAACAAGCAGCCAGUCCAGUCGACGUAAGCUACCAGAGAGAGAGAAGGGGUGAGGAAGGGGCGGACCUUGGAGAGGCCGAGCGGCGAGACCGCCGCCGGUUGCCGCGGCGACGAGGCGGGGGAUGCGGCGGCCGGAUCGCGGGGGAGGGUGGAGAGCGCGCGGGUCCCCCAGGCGGCGGCGAGCGGCGACGGCGCGGCCGCGUCGGCGCGGGCGGCGGCGAGCGCUAGGGCUUUGGAUCUGGUCAGCAAUCGCGACGCCAUUCUUUCUCUCUCUGUUCUCUCGGAAGGGAAAGGAAAGAAGGAUGGUGUUUUUUUUCAGGACAAGUGCGAGUACACGCAAGCAGAAAUGGCCUGGCCCAGUAUUACCGGCCCACACUUGCAAGGCCGAAUAGACGAACCAGGACCCCUCGCGGGUCAGGCUGGGUAAGCUAUUUGACCCACCAGCUUCUCAUGGACAUUAGAGUUGGUACAUCUACAUCCCCGCCCAGCUUGAGUCACGGGUGCCCUUCAAGGAUCACUUUGAUGCGUCGAGCUCUCAGCUACGCCCAUAUAUCGCGUGAUGGCUGUUUCCUUGGGAUAUUAUUAUAUUUGUGCGUUUUAAAUGUUUUUUUUUUGGGUUUUCAGGUUUUUGGUUUCUGCUCGGUUUUCUCUAGGUUUGGAAAAAAAAAUCAAAAAAAUGCUUUUCUUUUUCCGCGAGCGGCACAGAUUUGUUUCUCGUGGAGACACAAGUUUCAUUUUCGCGAUAGGCACACUCAAAAAGGAAAAAAACGCAAGAAAAAGAAAAAAGAUUCAUCCACAAGAGAAAAAACGUGUUUUCUCUUUCGCGAGAAGCAUAAAUUUGCUUCUCGUGGAGGCACAUGUUUACUUUCACAAGAGGCACAAUUGUACCUCCCAGAAAGGAAAAAUGCAUUUUUUUUCUUACACGAGAGGCACAAAUUUACUUCGUGUGGAGGUACAGAUUUGCUUCCGCGAGAGGCACAGCUGUGCCUCACAGAAAAAAUAUGUUUUUUUCUUUCACGAGAGGCAUAGAUUAGCUUCGCGUGAAGGCACAAAUUUCCAAAAGUUCAUCGAAACCUAUUAAUGUUGGAUCUAGUUUCGAAGAUCUCAACACAGGAAAUCCAACCGUGGAAAUGAUUUGCGAUUUACACGCACGGUUUAAGUGAUAAAAUAUUUUGAAUAAACGAAUCUAUGUCGAUACCGUGAAUAGCUGGUUCACGAGACCAACUACGCACAAGCCACAAAUAGCCCUACCCUUGGUCAGAAGCAUCAGGGCUACAAGACUCGGGAAUGGAGCCCCGGACAACGAUAUGCUUCCUUACCCCCAAAGGCAUCUAGACCAGGCUGCCCAAUGCGUGUCGUGGCGGUUCGGCUUGGUCAGAGCCCGUAUGGCACGUUGCAUACAGACAGCAUGGGCGCUGAAGAUGCAUCAGUAACUGGGGGUGAGUUACCAGCUCACCUGCCGUCAGGGUGGCACCUGCACCGGCGCGUGGCGCCAUUCGACUAGGGUGCCACCUUGGGCGGUGAUGACAAGAUGGACGUUCGUUCCCGAAUGACAGAAGACGAUGACACGUCAUCAUGCAUUUAAUGUGCAUACCUACCAUGUCGGCUGAGGGUAGUUCCUUAGGAACUAUGCCAUUGUGAUAUCCCUUGACAUAUAAAAGGAGGACCGAGCUAUAGAAAAGGAGGUUGGACACUUGAUAGAAUACAAGUAGAAGCACACAACACUUCCCGUUCCCGGGAGGACUUGUAGCUCGCCAUCCACUGAACAUAAAACCAUACACAAAGCACACCAUGCGGCCUGAACCCUGGUAAAUCAUCGUGUCACUUCAUGCAUUUUAGUAGUGUAGCUCCACACCUUUGUGCCCCGUCCCCGAACCAGCGGAAGGACGUCUCCAGUCCACGAUGUCGCGCACGUGUUCUGCAAAUACCCAUCAACAGUCUACAAAAAAACAAAAAAAAACUCCCAAGUUACGACAAGUGGCACACUGCAUGUAUCCUUAAUCAGUGAUUUUUGUUUUCUCACAAACCACUCAAUCGCCAGGGCUAUGUCUUGGGUGGUCAUAUACAACGCCUUUAGCGGGUAGUCUUAUAUGAUUCUUUUAGCGCCUAAUCUGCUCAAAGGCACUCACCCGAAGGCUCCCUGGUCGCUCAGUAUGCAGUUGCUUCGUCAAGCGGCAGUUAAUUGGUCGUUGGUUCACCAGUUCACCAAUCAACCAUUGACUUUCGGGAAAAAAAUGUAGGAAAGAAAUGAUUUGAAAAUAAAUAUCAUGGAUUCAUAAAAAUUCAAGGAUUAGAAAGAAAGUUUCUCAAAAAUAACAAAGAUUCACAAAUUAUUAAAAAAAAACUUGGCAAAUUUGAAAAAAAGUCCAAUAAUUUUGAUUUUUUUGCAGAUUUUGAAAAACAAAUCACGGAUUUGAAAAAGUUUGUCAAUUUUGAAAAAUAAGUUCAGAAUUUUGAAAAGUUCAUCAAAAUGGCAAAAAAAAUUCAUUGAUUUUCGAGAAAAGGUUAUCAAAUUUUAAAAAUAUCAUAAAUUUUGAAAGAAAAGUUCAUAAUUUUGGAAAAAAUCACAAAUUUGGAAAAAUCAUCAGUUUUCAAAAGAAUUCAUCAUACUUGCAACAAAGUUUUUUAAUUUGAAUUUUUUUUGGAAAAAGUUCUCAAAUUUGAAAAAAAGGCCAUUCAUUUUGAACAAAAAAUCAUCGAUAUUGCUAAAUGUUUGUGAAUUACGGAAAAAAUAAAAGCAAAGAAAAAGAAUUAUGAAUUAAGAACAUAAAAAGGAAAAAAGUAAAGAAAAAGAAAAAGAAAGAAAAAACCGUAUAGAAACCGGUCUAGAAAAUAACCAAAUCGAAAUAAGAAAAACUCGUCUAGGAAUCUUCCCAACCAACGGCUUCGGCAAAUUGAAGAAGGAAUAAAAGGACAAAACAAAGUAAAUGGGCACAAGUGUUAAGGUGUCAUAGUGGUCAGUUGGGUUCUCUCUAAAAGGAAGAUCUCGAGUUCAAAUCAAAGAUGGGAGAAACGAUUUCACGGCGGCCUCUCCCAAUAGGUAUAGCGGCUACCAUAGUGAGCAAUCGCGACAAUAGCGGAAUUUUUUUGGUGGGAGAGAUGAUUUCUAGAGGGUUUUGUGAAUUUUUGAGCCACUUAGAGGGAUUUGUGGACGAUUUCGCAGCAGGAGCCAUAGCAUAGUGGUGAGGCUCCCGCGGAGCUAUGGCGCAGCUAUUUUAUGGGAUAUUUAAUACUAUGGUUCAAAUCCCUCACCCACACUCUUUUUUCAAAAUUUAACAGAAAAAGGUAAAUGGGCCGGCCCAUGCAAGAUAGGUGGAGGUGGGGGGUGCGCCUGUUUGUGCCGACCGAUGUACAAGAAAUGCCCUAUGUCUCGCGCAAACCGAUUCACAAUAGGAAUCGCCUACGACAGACGAUUAUGGGCCGACCCAUUAGCUGCAUGUCUCGCUUAGCUUGCAGCGUGUUCGGUCGCUUAUGUUUUUCUAGAUUUUUUUGCCGGUUUUCUUUGAUUUUUUUCUUCACUAUGUUUUUGGUUUUCUUUGUUUUCGCAAUGGGUUUCUUUGCUUUUUCUUGUUUUCUUCGUUAUACUUUGGUUUCUUUUGUUUCUUUCUUUGAAUUUUUUGGUUUUUUUGUUCCAUUGUCUGAUUUUUUAUUUUACUUUUCCAGAACAUAUCUACUUUUCAUACACGUCCUACAUUUUUCCUACACAUGUAUACCAUUUUUUAUACUCGUUUAAGAUUUUUUAAAUACAUUUUUACCAAAACAUGUUUUGAAUGUAUUUUUGUAAUUCGUGUUAGGAAAAAUUCAGUACAUGUUGAAACAUUUUUUUGAAUUAUAAUGUUUUUUUAAUUGUGCAAACAAUUUUUGAACAUUGUAUAAACAAUUUUUGAAAAUGUGACGAAUACAUUUUUGUAACUAUUCAAUAUAUCUUAAAAUGUGACAUACAUUUUUUUGAAUGUACACAACAUUUCUGUUUAACUACACAAACAUUUCUUUGCAUUCUAUAAACAUUUUUUAAGUGUCACGUAGAUUUUCUUGAAUUGUGUGACAUUUUGAUUUUUACAUUAAUUUUGCAUGCACAUGAUUCAUGGUUGCCCUGUGCCACCCGCCCCGACCGCGCGCUCCCUGGAGCGCCUGCCCAUCCCCGAUUGAGCCCGGCACCGCCAGCGGCUGCACGCGCGCUCCCCGGCAUGGCCAUGCGAGCUCCCAACGCCCCUCCCCUGCCCUUCUCUAGCGCCGCCCCGUCCUGAUUCGGGCCACCAAUGGCCUCCUCCGCCCGGCCCGUGGAGGGCCUCACCUCAGCAGUGGAGGUCGAGCCGGCCACAAUUCGGACCGGAGGCGGCAAAUUCCGGCGUGCAGCGACGGAUUCCGGUGAGUUCCGGGUAGAUCCCGACUAGUUCCGCGGCGGCGCGUUUGCUUCGAUGAGGUUUGACCGGUUUACACGUUGAACUGUAUACUGCCUUCAAAACUGUACAUAUGAGGUUUUCGCGGAUGGAUUUUCAGUGCCCUUUAAAAAGUUUAAGGGCCGAUCGAGUUUUAUGGGAUCUGCUAGGCGCCGUUUUAAACUGUAAACAUGGAUUUUUUUUACGUGCUUGAUCGCUUUUAAGGGGUCUACUAGAGAUGCUCUAACUGGUCCACUUUGCCUGUUACAAACUGUAUUUUUUCCUAGAAUACGCAUAAUCAUAUCAUUACAAUAAAGAAGAAGUGACAAAGAAGCCUGGUAGAAGGCCUUUCAGCCUUACAACGCCAAUCUUGAGAAUUAGCCGCUACAUCCAUCACACACACGCACCUUGAGUAUUAUGAUACAUGCUUUCCUAAUCUAACCUCAUGCCAAUGAGGAUAGGCAAGUCACAUAUAUAUUAGUAGGGAAACUCAUUAUAGGACUUUGUUAUUAGCCGCGUCCAAUAAAUGACCACGCUGCUGGUAACUGGGCAAAAUAGUACUCCCAUAAUAUAAGAUCGUUCUUGACACUAGUAUAGUGUCAAAAACGUUCUUAUAUUAUGGGAUAGAGGGAGUAGCAACAUGCACUAAAAAAUGGCACACUGCUAUGAACAACUAACUAGCAAUGUGCGGGUUAAACGACACGCCGCUAGUUAGACCGGCCCAGAAAUGGACCUGACAGAAAUUACUAGCAGCAUCGUGCACACAUGUGCGGAUGCUACUACUAACCAUGUCAUUAGCCUUCAAACAUAUGCACACGCUGCUAGUGGCCAAACCUUUCUGCUUAAAAAUAAAAAUAUAUGCAACUUACUAGUAGCGUGUGCACAUACGCACACGCUGCUAGCACCCGGACCAUUCUGCUUAAGAAAACUGUACCAACUAACUAGAAGCGUGCACAGAUCUACACUCUGCUAGUGAUCAUGUUACUAGCAGCGUGCACACUAUAUGCACACUCUGCUAGUAAUCAUGUUACUAACAGCAUGUACUCAUAUGCACACCCUGCUAGUAAUAUCAAUAAUUUUUAAUUUAUAAGUUCAGACAAAGUGAUUCUUUUUUCUAAAAUUUUAAAAUUAAUACAUCUAUGUAUCUAAUAGAAUAUUUUUCAUUUUUUAACCACAUCUAGAUUUUACAAAAUAUAAAUAUCAGUAAUAUAUAAGUAAUUAAAUAUUAGACUAAUUUUUUUCUUCAUUAGUUUGAAAUGAAACUUUUUCUGCACUUAGCAUACACUAGUACAUCAUACAUGUCAAAAUUUGGCAUUGUUUCAGCUUCGUUUGCUAUAAGUGUCAUUAAGUAUUCAAAUUUCAAAUACAAGUACCUGAAAUAAUGGACACAAUUGGGUUGAAAAAUAUAUUUUAGGUUAUCAAAUAUAUAUUUAGGCCUUAUCCAAGAGAAUAAAACCUAUUCCAAACAUCAUGGUGCUAAGACUCGACCACCAAAUUGAUGCUUAUUGGUUUUUUUAAUCUUAUAAAAAAUGCAAACGUAGUUUAAGAAAUAGAAACGUGGCAUGGUGUCAUGUUAUGACACCUAGAGGUUGUGUUUAAAAUUUAAGAAGAUUACACAAAAGUUAUCACGUAAACUACUUAGAAACCGCACCAUCUCGAAGGAAGAAUAUUAGUGGUUUCGAGAGGUAACAGACCAACUUUAAGGUAAAAUGAUGGUCAUCUUUGUCGGUUGACAUUAAAACUUCUUCUAUAAUUAAUAUACACCACUAAAUCUUUCAUAGCAAACUUAGAUUGUUUUUAAUUUGUUUGCUAUAUUUAAUAAAAAAAUUACAACUUUAGAGCAUGGGUAAUUGCAACCCAGGUACACAAACUUGGCAGGUGGGUUCAGUUUGGUACAAAAACUUUAAAAAUGUACGCCACGGGUACCACAACUUGGCUUUUAUGUUCAUCCAAGUACAAAUCAAUCCUGAGCCAACACGUGGAUGCCAGGUAGGCAGGAUGAAUGCGCUGGGCUGCUUCGCUCUUUUACAAAAAUUCUCCCGCAAGGAACUAAAAUUUUGUCAUAGGAUCCAUGCGGACGAAUUAACCAGGUAAGCAUGCAAAUAUAUUGAUUUUGGUCUACUAUAAAAGCGCUGAUUUAUAUCGAAAUUUGGAUGCAAAGACUUGUCAUACCUGUCGAGCUCGACAGCUAUGCCUAGGGUAGCACAAUUAUUGGCACUGGACUUAUAUAAUUUCCUACAGCUUGGCCCUUAAACCCCCACUUGUCCAUUGAGAGGUUGUGUAACCCGUCUUGUCUUCACCUCAACUGUGCAAGGACACAGAAGAUCGCAGCUUUCCUUUGGCGCGCGGGGGAGACCGGGCCGCGGGCAUCUGCGCACAGAAUGGCGGUAUGCUCUUCUCUCCUUCCUCUGGAUGCAAACUGUCCAAUGAUUUUCCUACAGAAAUUAUUAUGGUAUUGACGUAUUAUUAGGAAGCUCUCGUACAACCUCCAUUCAGAUGCGGAUGAGACUCUCAUCAUUGUUCAUUAUUGUUAGCUUGUAAGUCUGUGUGUGAUCGAUUCAGUUUUUCAUAUGGUUUUUUUUGUGGUAUAUUCAACAGAGACCCCUCCGUCAUUGCAUUGUGCCGUUGUCCCAGACACUAGAAUCAGAUCCUGCAUCAUCAUCUGGAUGCAAACCUUGCGCUUCUUCCUCACACACGUAUAGAAUAGGCCCUCACAAUUCUCGAAAAAAAGAAUGGGCCCUCACGUGUAAUAAUCGACUCUCACGCGAGAUCAGCGCCGACACUGGUGCAAUGCAUGAAGCGUUCAUAUCUUCGUCGUCGCCGAGCAGCUCCUCCAGUGUGUACUGUACUUGAAUCUGCCGUCAUCAUCCUCCGCUGUGUCAACACCUUCUUAGCCGUUGUCAAGAUCGCGGGCCAAGAACCCCUUUGCCGCCUUGGCAUGUCCCUGGUACUGCCCUCACAGUUCUUCAAUUAUAUCGGCAAAGAACCCCAGCCGGAUCCACGUCAUCAUCGGUCACUACUCCGGCGGGCAGUCUUCGUCGGACAUCAACCAGCGCUUGAUCUCCUCUAGCAUUCUGCAUUCUUCGAGGGCCAUUUCUUGGCGGCCUGGAGUUUGGGGGCGUUGAGCAUUGGGAUUUCCACCGGACUUGACGUUGCGUUGGCUGUCUGGUUAAUUCUUCAAUAUGUUUCUCUAAAAAACAAGAGAUUCUUUAAUCUGUGUGCCACACCGUGGGAUGCAAAAGAGAUUACUUGCCCUUGUUCGCAUUUUCUCACUUUGAGCAUCCAUAGGAUCACACCAAAUAAGAUGAGUCGCUUUGCCCAAAAGUGAGAAGUCCACUUUCAUCCCUAAACUCUUUUUUGAGGAAAUUCAUCCCUAAACUCUUUGGUUUGUCUAAGAUUCAACCCCCAUCUGUAAAACCGGCGAAGAUUCAACCCCCAACUCCCCGAACCAUUCAGGAUCCAAUCCAACCCUGCCCUCGGCCCGGUGCUAGUUUCCCAUGAGUCAAAUGGGUUUUACCGUGUUGACCAUCUAGUCAGCAUGUCAUGUUAUCCUAGUCAGGUAAAUAAUAUAUAUGAUAUAAAGACAUAGCUAGUCAACAGAUCGAUAAUCUACAGACACAAAUUAUUAAAAUAUAAAAAGAGGAAAGAAAAGCAUGACUCCAAAAUGUCAUGUCAAAGUGACGGUAGCAAGCAUCAACAUGCAACAACACCAACCGCCGCCUCUGACUCCAUUGGAACUGAAGAGAGGUUCUUCAAUGGUGGUGCCUCUGGAAAGGGAACUACGUCUCAUGUCGACAUUGUUAGAUCCAAUCACUGAAGGCCAGAUCCAGGGUUUUCACCCCAAAGAUCAAGUCUGAGCAAAUUGCAACCAAUGCCUUGAAGAAGGGAACCGCCAUUUUCAGGUACAACCAACUAAUGUGCCGAUGGCAUAUGUCAGGGUUAUAAGCAUGGUCGUCCCAUGUAGGUUGGAUUUGCAUUUUUUUUGGAAUCAACAUUCAUGGUGGGUACAUGACGAUUUGGUUCGUGGUCUUGCGCAGUCAUUGUCAUCUUUCCUGGUCAAAUGUGCUUAAUUAGAGGAAGCAUGAAAAUGUUGCUAGUCCCUCGGCUCACAUGUACUGGACUUGGAAUUACGAGAAUGCCUUUUUGUUUCCCUCUCACUCGCUCGAUUUCAUGUAAAUUGCCUAUUCUAUGGAUGAUUUAUAAUAUUUCUAUGAGUUAAUCUCUCUUUUCAGCACAUACUAAAAGUAAUACAUACCGAUGAACUGGGUAAAAAUCAAACUAACAUGAUGUAAUUUUUUUUAUUUUCUUUGCUGACAUUGAAAAUGCCAAAUAAUAGCCUCUUUGCCCCCACCAAUUGUUCCUGGAAUGCAUGCUGAGUUGGUAGGAUUGACUUGUGCUUGUGACGUCCUCUUCUUUAACAUAUUCUUCGAUAGAGCUGGCAUGGCACUAUUGUUGUUUCGGCUCUUACUUGCUUGAUUUGAAAUGUGGAAUGCCACAUAUUAUGUUUCCCUCUCACCUUCUCAAUUUUACGUAAAUUAUGUGAUUGACAUCAAAUUUGUAGCUUUCUAAUGGUCCAACUUUCUUGCUCAAGGGUCGACCAUCUUCGGGCUACCCUCUCAGAGUUGUUGGGGGAAAUAGUUCGCUCUCCACACUAAACAUCACAUCAUCCUAUCCUAAAUGCCUCUUUGUCCCCAUACCUUGGCCAAGAGACCACUCGAGAAUCCGGACGCUGGACAAGAGGGGGCAUUUCAUUUGUACGUGCUCUUGAUAGCUAGUUUCCAAAGCACACUCAUGCACCGCCAAUAGCUAUGCGGCCUUAGUUAUGUUACUACCAAGAGAAACAUAAAAAUGCAGGAAGUUGCUAGCUAUGACAACUCAAGACCAAACAAACAUGUUUGUCGAGCCAAGAGAACAUUCAGCUAUUGUUGUGUGGGUAGGUUAGGACUUUUUUAGCUCCACUCACUCUGAACAACCGAGUUCCAUAGCAUCCUCAUGUACCACACAUGGCUACAUGGCAUGUUUUACAUCACUACCGAGGGUAAUGCGCCGAUGUAGCAAGUGACAUGAACGCACUCAAGACAAAUCAAACACCAAACAAUAUACUUUUCUCUCUUUUCUGACAUUAAUUGUUUGUAUUCCUUCCUCCAUAUGGCUCGUGGAAUUGGCCAGAAAGCAAGACUUCACAUAAUUAGUUGCCAUGCAUGUUCAUCAUCUUAGACACAUCUUACCAAUGACGCUGACCAUAAUGGCACCUGCGCAUGUUGCAUCUUGUGGACACUGAAGCUUGUUGAUCCUACACCUAUAUACGAACCUUAGGUAUGAUGUUUUCUUCUACUUCAUACUCUACUUCAAUGGAGAUUGCACCAUGUGUACAAGAAUAAGUCAUGUGACUUUGUUAUCACGUUCCCAUGUGUGGAUGGUAACAUAUCGAGAAAGUGUGUAAUAGUUCUUUUUAGGUAGCAUCACAAUUUAGCUCGCACACAAUAGCAAAUACAAUGGAGGGCCAAGCAUGCAUGUGUAGUAGGAUGUCCUUUGCUAAUGUUUGAGUCUCUAAAGUGUGGAAGUACGAAGAACAAAAACAUGUCCACAUGAUUUGUAAAUGCUCUGCAUGGGAAAAUAUAAAAAGGAAAGAGAACAAGUUUGCGAAUGUCAUGUCCAAUUAUGUAAGUGAGUCAAAUAAUAUGGCCCAUAGUCAACUUAGUUGCAGUUACAAUGAUAUUACGGUUCUGCUUUGCUGAUUGAAAGAUGAUCCACUAGAUUAACGACCAGAUGUUUUGGUUUCCUUGGGAAUGGCUUUGUUUUCUCUUGUUAACUUGUCAUGUACUUUUAACAUAUAAUGGAUUCUAAAUUUUUAUGUGUUGUUCAUGAUGAAACAUUGGCACUCACUACAAAAAAAAGACACAUCCAUGACAUUUUGGGCCGAACGAACUUUUUUUCUGUCAUACAUAUGACACUUCUAUGACGAUAAUUGUGACAAAACCCGGUAUCAUCAUAGAUGUGGUGGGCUCCUACUUCUAUGACAAAAAAUCAUGACAGAAAAUGGGCUUUUCGUCCUGGGCGGGCCGGAGACGCAGCUGCAUGACAUUCUUUGGGCCGUCCAUGACAGAAAAAACCGUGGUAGAAGCGAGGGGGAGGAAAAUUUCGGGGAGUUCCCGGUUACGGUGGGAGGUCGGGGGCCGAGCGAUGCGCGUUUCUCUCGUACACGUACGCGCGUGUGUGCGAGGCGUUGGCUCUAACUGAACCCGAGCGAGGCGUUGGGCUCUAACUGAACCCGAGCGAUUGCACUGCAGGCUACGCGUUACUGAACCCGAGCGAUCGAUCGAUGGCUGUUAACUGAACCCGAUCGAGCGAUUCCUUCGCUACUGCUGCUAACUGAAGCCNNNNNNNNNNNNNNNNNNNNNNNNNNNNNNNNNNNNNNNNNNNNNNNNNNNNNNNNNNNNNNNNNNNNNNNNNNNNNNNNNNNNNNNNNNNNNNNNNNNNNNNNNNNNNNNNNNNNNNNNNNNNNNNNNNNNNNNNNNNNNNNNNNNNNNNNNNNNNNNNNNNNNNNNNNNNNNNNNNNNNNNNNNNNNNNNNNNNNNNNNNNNNNNNNNNNNNNNNNNNNNNNNNNNNNNNNNNNNNNNNNNNNNNNNNNNNNNNNNNNNNNNNNNNNNNNNNNNNNNNNNNNNNNNNNNNNNNNNNNNNNNNNNNNNNNNNNNNNNNNNNNNNNNNNNNNNNNNNNNNNNNNNNNNNNNNNNNNNNNNNNNNNNNNNNNNNNNNNNNNNNNNNNNNNNNNNNNNNNNNNNNNNNNNNNNNNNNNNNNNNNNNNNNNNNNNNNNNNNNNNNNNNNNNNNNNNNNNNNNNNNNNNNNNNNNNNNNNNNNNNNNNNNNNNNNNNNNNNNNNNNNNNNNNNNNNNNNNNNNNNNNNNNNNNNNNNNNNNNNNNNNNNNNNNNNNNNNNNNNNNNNNNNNNNNNNNNNNNNNNNNNNNNNNNNNNNNNNNNNNNNNNNNNNNNNNNNNNNNNNNNNNNNNNNNNNNNNNNNNNNNNNNNNNNNNNNNNNNNNNNNNNNNNNNNNNNNNNNNNNNNNNNNNNNNNNNNNNNNNNNNNNNNNNNNNNNNNNNNNNNNNNNNNNNNNNNNNNNNNNNNNNNNNNNNNNNNNNNNNNNNNNNNNNNNNNNNNNNNNNNNNNNNNNNNNNNNNNNNNNNNNNNNNNNNNNNNNNNNNNNNNNNNNNNNNNNNNNNNNNNNNNNNNNNNNNNNNNNNNNNNNNNNNNNNNNNNNNNNNNNNNNNNNNNNNNNNNNNNNNNNNNNNNNNNNNNNNNNNNNNNNNNNNNNNNNNNNNNNNNNNNNNNNNNNNNNNNNNNNNNNNNNNNNNNNNNNNNNNNNNNNNNNNNNNNNNNNNNNNNNNNNNNNNNNNNNNNNNNNNNNNNNNNNNNNNNNNNNNNNNNNNNNNNNNNNNNNNNNNNNNNNNNNNNNNNNNNNNNNNNNNNNNNNNNNNNNNNNNNNNNNNNNNNNNNNNNNNNNNNNNNNNNNNNNNNNNNNNNNNNNNNNNNNNNNNNNNNNNNNNNNNNNNNNNNNNNNNNNNNNNNNNNNNNNNNNNNNNNNNNNNNNNNNNNNNNNNNNNNNNNNNNNNNNNNNNNNNNNNNNNNNNNNNNNNNNNNNNNNNNNNNNNNNNNNNNNNNNNNCUGUUCCGUCCAAGCCCUCCCGAUGAACACGACCACGCAUUCCGUUCCGACCCAGCCGGUUGGCUCCCACGCAUUCCAUUGCCUCUCGAUGAACACAAUGCAUUCCGUUGCCUCCCCAUGAACACGACGCAUUCCGUUGCCUCCCCAUGAACACGACGCAUUCCGUUGCCUCCCCAUGAACACGACGACGAUGCUGUUUCUCCGUUCCGACCCGGCCAUGUACACGAGCCCUGGCCGUACGUAUGCGCGAGUAGGCGUUCGAGACCCCGCCCGUAUGUACACAUACGUGACCGUAUUUUCUUUCUUGCACCCUGGCCGCUGUACGUACGUGUACAUGCUACAUGCGCGCCUCUACUACGACACGUGCGCGCCUCUACAUCGACCAGUAUGUACGUACACGUUCGCGACCAGAAUGACAAUGCUACGUACGCUUCGACCAGGUGGGUCCCGACUGCCAGGCACUUCCUUGCCUGUGAAGAUGUAGCUGGUGGGUCCCAGCAGUCAGGGGGGCGAAUCGUUUUUUUUGCCCGGACGCACUUCCUUGCGUGCGAAGAUGUAGCCGGUGGGUCCCAGCAGUCAGGGGGGCGAAUCUUUUUUUUGCCCGGACGCACUUCCUUGCGUGCGAAGGUGUAGCUGGUGGGUCCCAGCAGUCAGGGGGGCGAAUCGUUUUUUUUGCCCGGACGCACUUCCUUGCGUGCGAAGAUGAAGCUGGUGGGUCCCAGCAGUCAGGGGGAAACGUUUUUUCCGCGAAAUACAGUGGCCCGUCCGGUGGGUCCCAGCUGUCAGGUGGAGGAAUCAUUAUUUUCCACGUAAUAAGGAGGCACUUCCUUGCUGCGGCCGUGGACCCAGCUGUCAGCCUCUCCACAUACAGUCCACGUCCGAUGGAAGUCAUUCCUUGACCACGUUGACCAGGCCGAGCCGAGAGCACCACGGCGGUGGACGACGGCGAGGCCUAGGAAGGGGACGACGCAGAGCCGGGGAAGACGCGGCAGUGGAAGCCCGCGCGGAGAGGAGUACGAGGGUUCACUGGUUCGGCUGCGGUGUGAGGCUGCCGUCGCCGCAGGGCCUGGCCAGCGGUGGGAAUAGUAGGGGGCGGUGAGGCCUCCGCGGCAGCACAGCCGGCCACGAGAGGCAGGAGCAUGCGGCACGACCGGCGCUGCUUUGGGCGGCUGGAGCAAGAAGACCAGAGGUUGAAGAAGCACUAUGGCCGUUGGAUGGACAUCGUACGGUCACUGGAGCUAGAAUCGUUCAUAUUGACUAAGUUGACAAAGCCCUCCGUCCCCGUCAACUUAGUUGGCCCACAAGUCAUCCUCCCACUAUGGUGGGUCCCAGCUAGCAGGGGGGUAUUCAUUUUUUUGUGCGUAAUAAGGAGGCACUUCCUUGCGUGCGAAGAUAUAGCUGGUGGGUCCGACAUGUCAGGGGGGACAUUUUUUUUUCGCGAAAUACAGAGGCCCUUCCGGUGGGUCCCAGCUGUUAGGUGGAGGAAUCAUUAUUUUGCGCGUACAGUCCAUGGCUGAUGGAUGUCGUUCGUUGACCACGUUGACCAGGCCGCGCCGAGAGCACCAUGGCGGUGGACGACGGCGAGGCCUAGGAAGGGAACGACACGGAGCCGGGGAAGACUCGGCAAUGGUUGCCCACGUGGUGGGGAGUAUGAGGGUUUACUGGUCUGGCUGCCGUCACCGGAAAAUAACAGGAGGUGUGGGUGAGUAGAGGAAUGGCCUGGCCAGCAAUGAAGUAGGGUGGGUGGUGCGGCCUGUGCGGCAGCACAGCCGGCCACGGGUGGCGGGAGCAGGCAGUCCCACCGGAGCUGGUUUGGGCGGCUGGAGCAAGAAGAUCAGAUAUUGAAGAAGCAGCACGGCCGUUGGAUUAACAUCCAACGGUCACUGCUGCUAGAAUCGUUUGUGGACUAAGUUGACAAAGCCAAAGUACACGUCAACCUAGUAGACCCACAAGUCAGCCUCCAAAUCUGUCCCAAACAGCAUACAACCCGAAAUUUCUAGCCAGAUUCAAAUUAAUUUUACAUCUAAAUAUACCUUAAUUUAAAUUCAAUGAAAUUUUACCCGCACAAAAACAAUGAAAUUUAAAAUAUCAAAAUCCGAAAGAAAAUAGUAUUUUGGAACUAAUUGCCUGUUUGCUGUAUUUUUUCAUUUUACAGCCCAUUUAUUAUUACAUAUAGCCCAUUUCUUAUUACUUAUAGCCCAUUUUCUGGGAAAAAUGCAUCCCUCCUCGUCUUGAAAGAUUUCCGGUCCAGCAGGGCAUAGAAAAGCAAGUAGGCCUACGUUGGUUAUUCUGCAAAAAACAAAAUAGCUCGCUAGCCAUUUUCAGAAAGGAAAAAAACAAACUAGGCUGGUCAUGUGCUAAACAUAUGAAAUAAAAGCCUGGGCUAGACGGGCCACGGGUCCCGCACAACCCAGUUGAUACCCUUCUCCGUCCCGAAAAAACAAAAUUACUGCGCACGCUGCUGGGUCCCUUCUGUCAUCCUCACCAUGUACAGUCAUCUCCUUAUUCCUCUCGGUUGUUGACCAUGUUGACAACACCGGAGGGCGGCGCCGCGGCGAGCGAACCAAGGUGGAGGACGAUGGUGAGGCCUCGGACGGGAACGAACAGGAGCCGGGGAAGAUCACAGCCAGCCGUGGGAGGCGGGAGCAGGCGGUCCCGCCAGCGCUGGUUUGGCUUUGGCGGCUCGAGGAAGAAGAGACUGAAGAAACGCAACAGACGUUGGAUGUCAAUCCAACGGUCAAGGUUGGCACAAUCGUUUGUUGACUAAGCGGACACCAAGUAGCAUACUUUUUUAUAUAUAGGAAGAAAACUGCGAGGAAAAUGCAUUCGUCUGCUGUCCUCCUCACAGGGAACGUUCGCCACAUAAGUGACUAGCACCCUUGGUUUUCAACCGGGAGGUCUCAUAAAUGGUAGUAAUGUUGUUUCAACAGCAGCUGGAUCGCCUUUCACCAUCAUUGGAUAGUUUGGUCCAAGGAUGAGCGAGUUUGCUCCAAGACUAUCAAUACUGAACCAGGGAGAAGGUGUUGGCGCUAGCACACUAGUAUCCGUCCUGAAUACCAUGCAACGGGUGUUGGAAUAGGUCAGGAGAGGGCGACCAUGGGAGACAACACCUGCUUCCUCAGUAGUAACAAUCUGAGUGCACUGUAUACAGACAAGAAGAGGUGAUCCAUCGGAAUUAGUUGCCAGGCGCCACUGAGUAUAUAAGUUCUGCUCCUCCUCAUGCUCGUGAUCAUCACCAUCGUCAUCUCCCCCUUGCUUAUAAAUUUUUUCAAGUAUAGGUGGUGGAAUGUUCACAGGACCUUGGAAACACAAGAAGAAGGUUAAUUAGUAAAGGGAAACUUGCUAACCCGCAUGCAUGUGGAUGAAACAAUUAUAAUUACGGUGAAAGACAAACGUACCGAAACUACGAGGAUCCCAUGCAAAAAUAGUGCCACGAGUGGUCGCAGCAAACACAAGAUCCUCGUAUUCAAUUGCAUCACAGUACACAUCCGUGUAUAGAAAUAGAUUUUUGAGCAAUAUCCAUCCAGUCGAACCACGAAGGACGGCAACAAGCUUGUCGAAGAUAGCAAAAAAUUGAUAGUUCUUGUAAUUCCAAGAGCGGUUGGGAACUCGACAAAUUGCUAUCUUCAGUAGACGACAGUCACCAUGAUCGUAUUUGAACGUACGUAGAUCAUCUGUGCGCUCAACCUCAGGGCACUCGGAGAUUUUUGGAAGUGGAAUCCGCUGACGAGUGUACACAUUCACAAGUUCCCACUCGCAAUUGUACCCAAUAUAAACAACCCAAUCUCCAUUUGCGCCAGCCCAGGACUUACCCUUAAGCGAUGGCAUCUUGACAUCACACGUAUCAUAAUCAAGCGGCAUCAACAUGCACAAGGCGAGGCCUCUGUCGUCCCCGCCCAUGCGAACAGGCUUAUAAGAAGAUAAGGAGAUCAAACCGCUCCUGGACCCUUGGGUUCCUUGUAAUGAUGUUAUUAGUUGAGUCGAGAAUGGGCUUGAACGAACCUGCCAUGCUAGCCGAGGUGAUGACGUCGCACCGAUCAAUGAGUUCCCCCACCACGUCAUCUUUCAGAUCGGGGCAAGAAUAACGGGGUCGUUUCCGGCUUGUUCCCUCCAUGGAGAAGAUGAUCAAACAAUGGCAGAAGGAAGGGUGAAGGCAAAUGGAGGAGGGAGGAAGAGCGUGCGACAGCAGUUCCAAAUCGAGAGGGAAAGGCGAAGAGUCGUUGGACGGUUGCCAGUUUGCCACGGUACACGAAGAGGCGCCCCGGCCUACACGUCCUUUCGGAAAUUGUACAAAAGGACUCGUCGUCGUCUCACUGACAUGUUGGAACGGGAUCACAUGUCAACGAAACAUGGUGUGUAAUUUCUCGUGCAAAAUGCGAUCUGGCCGCGUUGGCCCGAGGUGCCGCAUUAGUUAUCGACUUUAUUUUUUAAUAGCGUGUCGUUCAGUUUUGAAGCACGACUAACUGGUACUGUUUGCAGAGAAAAUAUAAACUACUCUACCACUACUCCACCUCUAGUACUAGUAGUAUAAAAAAGAUAUAUAGGCUGGAGCUCAGAGCUUUCUUGCUAAGGGCUGCCCAAUUGCUUCUCACACUAUUACCCUCUCUCCAGAUCUAAAAAAUACGGCCUCUCUCUCCCUCCUCACUGGUGGUCACAGAUCUUCCGGGGAAGAAAAGGACAUGCAGCGUUGACGCACUUGUCGUCGGCGAGCGAGGUCACGCACUGACGACAAGGUUGUCCUCUCAGACCUAGCGCCCGCGCGGGAUGGCCUCCGUCCCCAAGCUCGCUGCCGUAGUGCGUGCGGAGGACGACAACCACGAGCGAAGCCACUUCUCGCUGACCCUCAUGUAUGCUACCUCUUUUCGAACCAUACCCUUGUUCUAUUGCCCCAUCUGCCAUGUCGCUGCAUGUGGAUCUUUUUCCACUCCACCAUCUUCCCAAUUUGGUAUCCUCUGCUCUGCUGGUCACGCAGAUGAAAACUGUCACAUCCCUAGCUUCUGACAUUGCACUAGGCUAACUUCAUGUGUGCAUCAUGUUUAAACUUUGAAAGAAACUUGAAAUGGGGAUUGCCUAAACCCUAGCAUUAAAGGAAUUCACUAGGUUCAACCAAAAUAUUUCUAGUAAAUCCAAAUGGCUUUCAAAAAUGUUAAUCAUUCUUGGAAAAUGCUGGAAACAGUAACCAGAGGUGAUGCACAUUUUUCCAUGACAUAUUUGGGCUCUGGAUUAAAUCAUACUCUAUUUGCAUUUGGGCAUUUAAAUGCUAUUAAAUAUUUUAAAUGCUCAAAUAAUCAUAAACUAAAAUGUUUACUGUAGGAUAUAUUCCCAACAGUGAUCAUGAGUAGUUUCAUGAUUUUUGGAAGUGUCUAAGUAUUUUUAAUAAAGCCCUAGAGACUACAGAAUAUUAGAAAACAGAAACAAAUACAAAAAAAGAGAGAGAAAGGAAACCUACCUGGCCUCACCUGUCGCAGCCCAGCUGGCCAGCCCACCUGGGCGGCCCAGCCCAGCGCCGCUGCCAGUCAUCUCCCACCUCUCGCCAGUAGGACGAGAGGCGUGUGGCCGCCGUGCGCGCCCACGCGCCCCGGCCACCUCCUGCUUGCCGCUUCUCCCUGGACGUCCCCGGAGACGCCACGCGCUCCCCUCGACCCCUCCCGCUCUUCCCCGUGCUCAUUCCCUCCCCUGGACCUCUCUCUCUCACCCACCCGAACGGGUUCGUCGCCGCCGCUCGCCACCACCGCGGCCAUCGCCUCCCCCUCGCCUCUCCGACAUGCCCAGGAGAUCCGCCACCGUCGCCUAUGUCUCUCUGUUGACUCACGCGACGCCAAACGCCCCGAAGCGCCGCCCCCGACCUCGUCUUCGUCGUUCGGCCGCCGAGAUCGCCGGCGACCUCCCGUCUUCAUCAGCUCCUCCCCGACCUCGCCGACCCGCUCGUCGUGACUGUGGUGAGCUGCUGGCCGUUUUCCCCCCUCUCCGCUCUCUUCCUCGCAUGCCGUAGUGACCGCACCAAGCUCGACCGCACCCGCUGCCGCUUGCGCCCACCGCCGACGCGGCCCCGGCAACCAAACAGCCUGGGCGUCGUGUCCAACAUGCUCGCCGCCUCGCGUAGUUGCUGUAGGUGCCAUGAACGCGCUGCCACGGUCACUGCAGCCCCGUAGCCACAAACACCCGAACGCCAGCGCCGCCCCGAGCUCGUUUCCGGCGAGCUCCAUCCGUCCCCGCUGCUGCCGCAUUCCGCUCUGGAUGCGGGCGAGCCCCAGCUCCCCGCGCGUGCCCUCCUCUGCUCGAUUGGGCGCCGGAGAAGCAAUCCCGAGCCCUUCCGCCGUGUCUGCUGCCGCCGGCGGCUAAACACCGGUGGUUUAGCCCCGGUUGACCAGGGAUUUGACCCCCCUGGGUCAUUGACAUGUGGGCCCCGGCCCCACUGACAUUUUGGUUAGGUUUAACUUAAGGCUAAUUAACUAUAUUAAUUAGCUAAGUCGAUGACAUAUGGGUCCCACUGUUAGGUUUGACUCUAGUUAGGCGCUGUUGACCAGCUGACGUCACAGUGAUGCAGUGCUGACGCAAUAACUCAUUUUUGGAUUUAUUUUUUAUAUAGGAAAUUCCAGAAAAUGUAGCAAACUUCUAAAAAUCAUAGAAAAUAAUCUAUAACUCAGAUUGAAAAGAUUUAUAUAUGAAAAAUGAUCAGAAAAAUCCAAUCUAUCCAUCUGUACUGGUUUCAUGCAUGUCUAAACAACUUAACCUUGCUGUUUAGUUCAAAACAUGAUAAGGCACUAUUUAAAUUCAUAAUUUGAGUUUGGGAUUGAACCUUUGGUUCAAAAUGACCCAAACCCAUCUGUUUGUAGUUGCAUUAGCCAAAACACAUUCAUAUUGCCAUGUCUUAGCAAGCAUGAUAAUUGUUGCAUUGCAUUGAUUGUGUUCUUCCUUGUUUGCCGGUGGUUGUCCCUUCUCGAUAGACGUGGUUCCGACGAUGAGUUCGAUGACACUGAUGAAGAGCUAUAUGAUCUUCGGAAGUGCCAGGCAAGCAAACCCCCUUGUUCAUUCCGAUACAAUCCCACUCUCUCGCUCCUACUCUCUUUUACUGCAUUAGGACAACAACGAUUCAUCUGUUACUUGCUGCGGUAGUUGAACCCCUUAUCCUCUGCAUGACCUGUCAUUGCCACAGUAAAUAGAUGAAACCCACUAGCAUGAGUAGGAGUUGUUUGAGCCCUGAUGUGCCUACUCAUUCAUGCUUGUUUGUCAUGCCUGAUACUGCUUAGAGUUGAGUCGGGUCUGAUUCAUCGGGGAUGAAUUGGAAUGGUGAUGAACAUGUCCUACUGUGUGUGAACACGAUUUGGUAAAGGUAGCGGUGAGAGGCCAUGUAGGAGUACAUGGUGGGUUGUCUCAUUGAAGCCGUCCUCAGGAACUGAGUUCUGUGUUUGUGAUCCAUGAUACAGUUACUACCACGCAUUGGGCCCGAAACCAAUGGACCCUCUCGGCUUCUUAAUCACCCUUGUCCUCUGUCCAGGAGUUGCAAGUAGUUUAUGGUGUUUGUAGUAUGCUAGAGGCCGUGCGCAGCGCUGACCCGAGGGGUGGGCUGUGAUGCGGUAGGCACGUGGCCGGGCAUGCCGGGCGCCCGUUUGGUGUCUCGGAACCCUGUACACAUCGUUCAGGGCCGUAUGCGGAAACCUCGGCCGGACUCCCUGCGGAUGGAACCUGAAUAGGCGAUAAACCUAGACUAGAGACUUGAGCGUUUAGGUAGGCUGUGGCCGACACCCUCGCUGGGCUUCCGCUUGAAGGUUGCCGAGUACAUGCUGUGUAAACGGCGGUAAGUGGUGAGAGCGUGUGUGACGAAGUACACCCCUCCAGGGUUAAUAUGAUCUAUUCGAAUAGCCGUGUCCGCGGUAAAGGACUUCUGGGUUGCCUAUAACAGUUCAUAGACAAGUGAAAGUGGAUACUCUAAAAUGCGCAAGAUAAGCGUGAGUGCUAUGGAUGGCGUUCUCGUAGGGAGACGGGAGCGGAUCCAUAGUGGAGUAUUGAUAUGGUGAAUAUGUGGACUCGUGUGCGCCACCUCAAAAGAGUUACUUGCAGUCGUAGUUUAGGAUAGCCACCGAGUCAAAGCUGGCUUGCUGCAGUUAAACUCCACCACCCCCUUUGUUGAUACCGAUGCAUAUGUAGAUAGUUCUGAUGUAAGUCUUGCUGGGUACAUUUGUACUCACAUUUGCUUAUUUUAUGUUUUGCAGAGAGACGUCAGUCUCGCUAGUAGUUCCGUGUGGACUUCGACGUUUAGCUUGAUACCUCAGCUACGAUCUUGUGCCCUCGGCAGGAUCUAGUAGAUAGUCAGGCUUCUCAGCCUUUUUCAUUUAUAGUUGUCUGUACUCAGACAUGUUAAGCUUCCGCAUGUGUUUGACUUGUAUGCUCUGAAUGCUGGGUCGAGAGACCCAUGUUUGUAAUAUCUGGCUCUUCGGAGCCUAAUGAAUAAAUACUCUGAGUCGUAGAGUCUAGUUGUGAUGCCAUGUUGUAUUUGCACAUAGCGAGCAUAUUGUGUGUAUGAUUGAAAUGCUUGGUAUGUGUGGGAUCCGACAAUCUAGUUGUUUAUCCUUGGUAGCCUCUCUUAUGGGGAAAUGUAGUCUUGUGUUUCCAUGAGCCAUAGUAGUCCGCUACAGCCCGGUUCACCGGAGUCCUGCUAGCCCAGCACUACUGCUCCGAAACACUUGACUGGCCGGCAUGUGAUUCACUUCGUUCCUGUGUCUGUCCCUUCGGGGUAAUGUCACGCGGUGACAUCCGGAGUCCUGCCUAGCCUGCUACAGCCCGGGUUCCCGGAGUCCUGUUAGCCCAGUGCUACAGCCUGGAUUCACACGUUGCUGACCGACAUGCUCGAUGUUGAUUCAUGUAUGCCUGUCCCCAUAAGUUAGUGCCGCUUUGGGUUCACGACUAGCCAUGUCGGCCCGGGUUCUCUAUCAUAUGGAUGCUAGCGACACUAUCAUAUACGUGAGCCAAAAGGCGCAAACGGUCCCGGGCCAUGGUAAGGUGACACCCGUGGGAAUACCGUGCGUGAGGCCGCAAAGUGAUAUGAGGUGUUACAGGCUAGAUCGGUGUGACUUAGAAUCGGGGUCCCGACAAAAACCUUAAUUUGCACUAUUAAAGGAAACCCUACUUCAUGCAGACUAAUCCAUGCCUAGGUUGAAUAAGGAAAGGAAGGGAGACUGUACUGUCCAAGAGAGUAGGCAUUGAACCCGCAUCUAGGUUGAAAAGGGGAAAAUCAGUAGCUAAGGAACGAGUCUCGUGUCUCUUGGUUGAAGAAGGUAGAAAGGCAUGACAACGCAAUAGAGAAUGACCAGGUUGAUCGGUUUGUUGUCCUCACAUAGGAAAAAGGUGGCUAAACAUAACAAAAAAUGGGACGUAAUCCACAUAUGCUGCCUGGAUAUUUGUUGCUCUGGGCAACCAUACCUCCCUCACCACUCUAUGCGUCUGUCACUACAGGAAUCAGCUACUUUGCCAUCUGCCACGGCAGAUGGCAAAGGCAGGAACGGCGGACGGCAAAGAUCUUUGCCGUCUGCCGCGGACGGCAAAAGGCUCCGGCAAAGUAAGGAUCAGCAAAGAGCUACUUUGCCGUCUGCUUUCGGCGGCUGACGGCAAAGGGACCUUUGCCAUCAGCAGCAGACGGCAAAGAAAGCAGACGACAAUAAUUAUGCUGUUAGUCCGUUAGGUGGCUAACGGCAGCCUUUGCCGUCCGCCUCGCGAGUCACAGACAGCAAACAAAAGGGAUAAUAUUUAAAAAAACACAACAACAAUGCUCCCGAGUGCUGCGGUCAACGCAUGCAAGUGCACUUCCCUAUCUUUCUUUUUAACAGGGAAAGGACAGGCCGUGCCUUGGUGCCUUUUGUUCAACAUUAGUGGAGUACAAAGUUCAAACAGGACCCCGAGAAAACUAAAGUUACAACAUAGUCCUGGAAAUUAACACAAAAGGCCCUAAAAAUUAAAACUGAAAGGCAAUCGAGUCCUUGCUCUCCACUGCAGUGCUCUGCCCGCCCCGUCGUCCAGCCCGACUAUGGCUGCGCCGCCGCCCGGCGCUUCUCGCUGCGCCGUUGUCUGACCCUGCUCAGCCGCGCUCGGGAGCUGACUUGCUCCGGCGCGGGGGCGAGGGGGUGCACGCGAGGGAGGUCGGGGAUGGGAGGUGCGCGACCGUCGGAGCUCGCGAGGCGGGGCGCACGGCUGUCGGGUGAGGAGCUCGAGUGCGCACGGAGCUCGCGGUGCGGACGGGCUCAGGUGAGCUUCACGUGGCGCUGGCAAGGUGGCAGAACUUCACGUGGCACUGGCGAGGUGGCAGAGCUUCACGCGGCGACGACGACGGAGAUGCACACGGCGAGGCUACUGGCCACGAUGGACAGGCGGUCGAGGGGCGCAGCGUCGGCCAGACGGAGGGGCGGGAGGGCGCUGGCGUAGCGACGGAUGGACAGGCACGCGGGCGGUGGCCGCCCCGUGCGGCUGCUCGAGGACGAGCGUGCGCUGGGCUGAACCUGCGGCUGCUCGGGAGCACUGGACAGGCAGGCGGGCGCGGCGUGCGUUGGCCCAUGGCAUGCGGCUGCUCGGGGGAGUAGGAGAGAGGUGGGACUAGCAGGAGAGAGGAGAGCGAUGACCGGCAGUGUGCUACUACUCUGGCAGAAGGAGAGGGGAAUCGUGGGUGGGGCUAUGCGUCGAUGGGGCUGUGCGUGGGCACGCGUGCAUCAUGGGUCAGUGGGGGCAUGCGUCCGACGGCUGUGAGUGGGUGGGACGUGCGUCUAGGAUUUCGCCAAGUCAUCGAUCCGUGUGGUCUAUCCGCGUGGUGUGCUUCUUCUUUGCCGUCCGCCGAGGCUUUUCCGUCCGCUUUUUUUAUCUUUGCCGUCUGCUAGCAGACGGCAAAGAGGGGGCCGUUAAGUUUUUCUAAUCAGCUCGUUACUGGGGGCCACCUCUCUCUUUGCCGUUAGCCAGCUGACGGCAAAGAACUGACAGAUGGCAAAGACCGAUUUUGCCGUCUGUCAGUUGUUUGCCGUCUGCUUUUUGAUAGCUGAUGGCAAAGACCUUCUUUGCCGUCUGCUAGCAGACGGCAAAGAACUGGCAGACGGCAAAAUCCCUGAUUCCAGUAGUGUGUGGAGGUACAUCGUACUGGUGCGCACUGCCCGAAUGGGCCUCCCAUGCUCUUAGUGUCACUUUUUGCUGUCAGUAUAACGCCAGCAGUCAAGUCAAGCAAUGCUACUGCUAAAGUGAUGCCACAUUUAACUAAUGCCGCACUCAGUCUAAUGCCACCGAUAAAUUUAAGCAAUGCCAUUUAAUGUCACCGGAUUAUUUCAGGGUUAGCUGUUGAUUGUGGAUGUAUUAAAGAUUUUUCAGCUAAGGCAUUCUAAUGCUGUUGCACAGCCAGUAUACCAACGAUGAAACUUGUUACUACCUUCAGAUUUUUGCACUGUUAAUGCUUAUAGAUUACAUACCUCACUUUCAUGAGAUAAGUUUAUUUUUUUCUACAGUGUCACCAAAAUGCCAAGGCGCUGAUGUCAUUUUAUUUUGGUUAAACUACACAAAAAAUUAUGAAGACAAGAGGAAAGGUCAAGAGUGGGCACCUCCUCCUCCGGCUGUUCUCUUGAUUCAUUCGAUCAAGUUUUUAUGUUUGAUCGAUUAUCAAGAUUGGGAUAGCAAUUUUUAAGCCCCCCCCGAGUUCGAAAUGAUAUUUACCUUGGAGGUACAUGGUUUGCAAUUUUUUAUACUGUCAUUAGUUAAUAAUGCUAGUUACCUUCAGACUUUUGGUUUUGGUUUAAUGCUCAUGCACAGCUAGUAUACCAAUGCUGAAACGUGUUACCUUUACAUUUUGUAUUGUUAAUUCUUAUAGAAAUCUUCCAGUGCCAGAGUUUAUUGAAAUCUGUUCAGUAAAACCAUUGUACUGUACCCUGUAAUAAAAUAACUACUCUACUGUUGCACUAGCCACUGGAUUAGUGUAUAUUUGUAGUAUUCGAAAUUUCGAAUGGUGUAUAUUUGUAGUAGCCACCAAUUUCGAAUGGUGUUGCAUUAGCGUAUGGACAUAAAUAAAGUGUGGCAAGCUUUCACAGAUAUGUGCUCAAGAAAACUACUACCUGUUUUUCUAAAUACUAGUAGACGUUUGGGUACUUUAAACUGAACCACGAAAACGUCUUAUAUUAAGGAACAGAGGGUGUAGAGUUCACUCAAAUUAUCCCGGUAAAGCUAGUCACACCUUUGUUAAAAUUAAUGUUCAUUAUGUUAUCGAAGGAGGUCUGUAAGUUUGUCUCUAAUGCCUGUCGACUACAUACCUGACAUCAUGAUGUACUGUUAAGUCAUUUCCUUUUGUACAGUGUCACUGAAUUGUCAAGGCAGUGAUGGCAUUUUAUUUUAGUUGAACUGCACAACAUAUGCUUAAAAGAAGAGGAAAGGUCAGGAAUCAAUCAUUAUUUCAGAAAGAACUAUAUAUGCCUUUCUGACAUCAGCCUCUGUUGCCUUAUUUAUUCCUUCAAACAGGUGGUUAGAAACAGUCUUGCUACCUUUUCCCAUUAAGAAAUUGGAAUGCUUAUAUUUGUGAGUCUAUGCUUCAACUAGUGCCACUUUUAUAGUAAUCACACUUUCGAUAUCUAUGCAAACAGGGAUGCUUGAUUUUAGUGGAACUGCACAAAAAGUCCAACUGGUUCAACAUUAGGAGCAGGUUUUCUUCCAAACCUUUAUAUCCAAUUGGUGGCACUAUGAGCUGUUCAUUAAGAAGGUACAUGGUUUGGUACUAUCUUGCUACUCUUUUUGUACUAUCAUUAGAUAGUAAUACUAGUGGUUUGCAUGUGAAUUUAUUGGCAGGGUGGACCUACAUUGGAGGUGCAGGACAGGAUUCAAUGAUUGGAUGCUCAAUUUCGGUUGUAUCGGUUUCACCUCUUCCAUCACUACGAACAUGGAUAUCCUUGGUCUGAUGAAGAAUAGGCGCUAUAUUUCUGCUCUGAACAAGCAAAUCAAUUCAGUAUGAAAUUGUCCAGGGCAAAACAUGACUGUAUCAAAUUGUCCAGUGCAAAACAUGACAGAUGCUAAGCGGAAGAGACAUGUUUAAACCGAAAAUACAAGGUGCGGUAUAUGUUUACUAGCUGCUUGAUAUUUGUGCAGACAGAGAUGUCUGCCUGUUGCUAUUUGGCAAACACACAAAGUGACCACAAUUUUGGUUGAACUGAACAAGAGAAUAGUAUAGUCACUACAUGCAGUGCCAUUUGAAAAUAGACACAGAAAGAUUGGAUAGUCACUUCAUGGACUGCAGAAAAGUAGUACUGUACUAUUUAUUGGCCAACACUAGGUGCUUCAUUGCUUUGGUCUGAUUAUACAAUGGGCAUCAUUUUGCCUAAGUUAAAGUUUGUAUUCCGAAAAUAGUCUCGCCGUGUGAUCAAGAGAAGACUAAAUCAUAUUGUAGUGGAUGUUCCUCCAUCAUGUGUGGUUCAUUCUCAUGGUUCCAGCUGUUGGUGAAACCAGUUACGUUUGCAAGAGGAAUUGUAGACUUCACAAACAAAUUUGUCUUUCAGUCUGUACUGAAUGUUGGCCAAGAGAAGCAUCCAUGUUAGUAGGAAGAACAUAUGUUUUUUUCUAGAUCUUUGCUUUUGGAGCUACAUAUUUGUAUAUGAUCUGUGAAUCAUUGAGAUGCAUUAACAUGUUGAUCUUAUGUAUGGGAAUCAUACUAGUUGGUUUUAGUUGUGGCUGAUCUUUGCUUUUGGAGCUACAUAUUUGUAUAUGAUCUGUGAAUCAUUGAGAUGCAUUAACAGUUCUUUAUAUAUGUUCGCUCAGUGUUUACAAGUUACCGAUCGAUCACUAGCUAGCCUACUAAUGCACUCCUGGCUGUUUUAGUUGCGACGCAAGAUCCGUGGAAUCAUUAUUGACAAGGAGGAAUCAUUAUCGAUCACUAGCUAGCCUACUAAUACUCGGGUUAAGCUUGACGAGCCUAGCAUAUAAUAGAUAUGGCCUCGGAACACGGAGACCGAAAGGUCGAGCGUGAAUCAUAUAGUAGAUAUGAUCAACAUAGUGAUGUUCACCGUUGAAACGACUCCAUCUCACGUGAUGAUCGGACAUGGUUUAGUUGAUAUGGAUCACGUGACCACUUAGAGGAUUAGAGGGAUGUCUUUCUAAGUGGGAGUUCUUAAGUUAUAUGAUUAAUUGAACUUUAAAUUUAUCAUGAACUUAGUCCUGGUAGUAUUAGCAUAUCUAUGUUGUAGAUCAAUUGCUCGCGUUUAGCUCCCCUGUUUUGUUUUGAUAUGUUCCUAGAGAAAACUAAGUUGAAAGAUGUUAGUAGCAAUGAUGCGGACUUGGUCCGUGAUCUGAGGAUUAACCUCAUUGCUGCACAGAAGUAUUAUGUCCUUGAUGCACCGCUAGGUGACAAAACUAUUGCAGGAGCAGAUGCAGACGUUAUGAACGUUUUGAAAAAAGCUCGGUAUGAUGACUACUUGAUAGUUUAGUGCACCAUGCUUAACGGCUUAGAAUUGGGACUUCAAAGACGUUUUGAACAUCAUGGACCAUAUGAGAUGUUCCAGGAGUUGAAGUUAAUAUUUCAAGCAAAUACCCGAGUUGAGAGAUAUGAGGUCUCCAACAAGUUCUAUAGCUAAAAGAUGGAGGAGAAUAGCUCAAGCAGUGAGCAUGUGCUCAGAUUGUCUGGGUACUACAAUCGCUUGAAUCAUGGGAGUUAAUCUUCCAGAUAAAAUAGUGAUUGACAGAAUUCUCUAGUCACCAUCACCAAGUUAGUAGAACUUCGUGAUGAACUAUAGUAUGCAAGGGAUGACGAAAACAAUUCCCAAGCUCUUCGCAAUGCUAAAAUUGGCGAAGGUAGAAAUCGAGAAAAACAUCAAGUGUUGAUGGUUGACAAGACCACUAGUUUCAAGAAAAGGGGCAAAGGGAAGAAGGGGAACUUCAAGUAGAACGGCAAGCGAGUUGCUGCUGAAGUGAAGAAGCCCAAGUCUGGACCUAAGCCUGAGACUAAGUGCUUCUACUGCAAAGGGACUGGUCACUGGAAGCGGAACUGCCCCAAGUAUUUGGUAGAUAAGAAGGAUGGCAAAGUGAAACAAAGCUAUAUUUGAUAUACAUGUUAUUGAUGUGUACUUUACUAGUGUUUAUAGCAACCCCUCGGUAUUUGAUACUGGUUCAGUUGCUAAGAGUAGUAACUCGAAACAUGAGUUGUAGAAUGAACAUAGACUAGUUAAGGGUGAAGUGACGAUGUGUGUUGGAAGUGGUUCCAAGAUUGAUAUGAUCAUCAUCGCACGCUCCCUACACUUUCGGGAUUAGUGUUGAACCUAAAUAAGUGUUAUUUGGUGUUUGCGUUGAGCAUGAAUAUGAUUUGAUCAUGUUUAUUGCAAUACGGUUAUUCAUUUAAGUUAGAGAAUAAUUGUUGUUCUAUUUACAUGAAUAAAACCUUCUAUGGUCAUACACCCAAUGAAAAUGGUUUGUUGGAUCUCAAUCGUGGUGAUACACAUUUUCAUAAUAUUGAAGCCAAAAGAUGCAAAGUUAAUAAUGAUAGUGCAACUUAUUUGUGGCACUGCCGUUUAGGUCAUAUUGGUGUAAAGCGCAUGAAGAAACUCCAUACUGAUGGACCUUUGGAAUCACUUGAUUAUGAAUCACUUGAUGCUUGCGAACCAUGCCUCAUGGGCAAGAUGACUAAGACUCCGUUCUCCGGAACAAUGGAGCGAGCAACUGACUUAUUGGAAAUAAUACAUACUGAUGUAUGCGAUCCGAUGAGUGUUGAGGCUCGCGGCGGGUAUCGUUAUUUUCUGACCUUCACAGAUGAUUUGAGCAGAUAUGGGUAUAUCUACUUGAUUGAACAUAAGUCUGAAACAUUUGAAAAGUUCAAAGAAUUUUAGAGUGAAGUGGAAAACCAUCGUGACAAGAAAAUAAGGUUUCUACGAUCUGAUCGCGGAGACAAAUAUUUGAGUUACAAGUUUGGUCUUCAAUUAAAACAAUGUGGAAUAGUUUCACAAAUUCGUGCCACCUAGAACACCACAG